UUAGUAUGGGAGCUGUGGUCAAAAGACGC
Molecule: small RNA, 29 nt
Filed under: Bombyx mori (domestic silkworm)
Lineage: Eukaryota; Metazoa; Arthropoda; Insecta; Lepidoptera; Bombycidae
Description: piRNA piR-bmo-1692457
Source: RNAcentral